UACGUAGGUGGCAAGCGUUAUCCGGAAUUACUGGGCGUAAAGCGCACGCAGGUGGCUUUCUAAGAUUGACGUGAAAACUGCUGGCUUAACUGGCAGACGUCGUUGAUGACUGGGAGGCUUGAGGCGAGGAGAGGGGUGUAGAAUUCCCGGUGUAGUGGUGGAAUGCGUAGAGAUCGGGAGGAAUACCAGAGGCGAAAGCGGCACCCUGGCCUUGGCCUGACGCUCAGGUGCGAAAGCGUGGGGAGCGAACGGG
This 253-nucleotide ribosomal RNA is filed under the name uncultured Caldilinea sp. Its description in RNAcentral is "partial 16S ribosomal RNA". It matches the Rfam family "Bacterial small subunit ribosomal RNA", at positions 524 to 776 of the family's 1533-position model. Lineage: Bacteria; Bacillati; Chloroflexota; Caldilineae; Caldilineales; Caldilineaceae. The record is from RNAcentral.